UACGUAGGGACCAAGCGUUGUUCGGAUUUACUGGGCGUAAAGGGCGCGUAGGCGGCGUGUUAAGUCAGCUGUGAAAUCUCCAAGCUUAACUUGGAACGGUCAGCUGAUACUGAUGUGCUAGAGUGCAGAAGGGGCAAUCGGAAUUCUUGGUGUAGCGGUGAAAUGCGUAGAUAUCAAGAGGAAUACCUGAGGUGAAGACGGCAUCCUGGACCGACAUUGACGCUGAACGGCGAAAGCUAGGGGAGCAAACGGG
Molecule: ribosomal RNA, 253 nt
Filed under: uncultured bacterium
Lineage: Bacteria
Description: partial 16S ribosomal RNA
Rfam family: Bacterial small subunit ribosomal RNA
Source: RNAcentral